Molecule: ribosomal RNA, 688 nt
Filed under: Hesperotettix viridis (snakeweed grasshopper)
Lineage: Eukaryota; Metazoa; Arthropoda; Insecta; Orthoptera; Acrididae
Description: partial 16S ribosomal RNA
Source: RNAcentral
UUUAUUUAUUUUAUUAUAAUUGUUUUUUGUUAGUUUAUUUUUUAAUAAAAGAAAUUUUAUUUAUUAUUUUGUCUUAGUAUAUUUUAUAGAAUUGAUUAUUUUUGUUAUAGUUUAAUAGUAAUGUAAUUGGAUUAUGAAAUAAUUUUUUAAUUAUCAAAAAGUAGAUUUAAUUUGUUGUACCUUUUGUAUCAGGGUUUAUUAAAUUUUUAGUAUUUAUUUACUAAUCUCGAUUUAGGUUGAUUUACAAAUAAAUUAAAGUUAAUGUGUCAUAAUUAUUUUUAAUUUAUUUUUAGAAAUGAAAUGUUAAUCGUUUCCUAAUAUAUCUAGUUUCUUAAGAAAAAAAUUUAAUUUUUUAAAGUUAAUAGUUUUUAUUUACUUUUUUAUAUAGAAAUGUUAACUUAUUUAUUCUUUAGGGGAUAAGCUCUAGAGUUUUCCUAUAAUUUUAUUAAUUUUGAUUUAAUAGUAAGCUUUAAACCAGCUAUCUUUUUGAUUACGUUUUAGUUCAUUAUUUAUUAUUUUGAUUUUAUAAAUAUUUUAGGUUUUAUAUUAAGAUUAUUAAUUUAAUUUUUAAAUUAUUGUAAUAAUGAUAGAAUUAGUAUAUAUAUAUUUAUUGUUUAUAAUAUUUUAUUAUGUUAAUUUAUUAUAAGGAAUUAGGCAAAAUUGAUUUCCGCCUGUUUAUCAAAAACAU